CACUGAAAAUUUAAAUUAGUCACUAUGACUAUUCAGUUAGUCAAAUAUUAGCCGAAAGGUAGUCAACAGCAUAUAUGACUACCCAUCAAGUCAUUGUGACUACCUGCACGGUCAAUUUGACUUUGUUAGUGGUCACAGCACCACGUGGUGUAGAGUAUCAGUUUUCACGCGCACUCUUUCGCGUUCCCUUUGUUCCCUAGAUCGUGUAGAUGUAAACAAACCAGGAGGCAUGAAACUGUUAUUUUGUCAAUUAAACCAAUUGUUUAAACAAAUGAAGACAUUGCUAUAUUUGUAUGAACACAGCUGAGAGAUUUUUGACCAGAGAGAAUAUUACACUGACACAUGCAGAGUUGAUACCGACAAAAUAUCUAAAAUUAACACUUCAAAUUCUGACAUACUGAAAAUGUAUAAAUUAUAUAUUGAAGUUGGGAUAUCAUAAUGUAUGUAACAAUGAGUUUAUAAUAAAUAUAUUUUCUUUAUUUGA
Long non-coding RNA from Mytilus californianus (California mussel), 484 nucleotides. RefSeq lists it as uncharacterized. NCBI's taxonomy places the organism in Eukaryota, Metazoa, Mollusca, Bivalvia, Mytilida, Mytilidae. The transcript has 2 exons. The record is from RefSeq and is a predicted model, not a curated record.